RNAcentral lists this ribosomal RNA (503 nucleotides) under uncultured bacterium. RNAcentral describes it as "partial 16S ribosomal RNA". It matches the Rfam family "Bacterial small subunit ribosomal RNA", at positions 899 to 1397 of the family's 1533-position model. The record is from RNAcentral.
ACUCAAAUGAAUAGACGGGGGUCCGCACAAGCGGUGGAACAUGUGGUUUAAUUCGAUACUACGCGAGGAACCUUACCUAGGUUUGACAUGUAUAUGACCGCCCCAGAAACGGGGUUUUCUACGGGAAACCGUAGACAUAUACACAGGUGCUGCAUGGCUGUCGUCAGCUCGUGUCGUGAGAUGUUGGGUUAAGUCCUAUAACGAGCGCAACCCCUGCUGUCAGUUGCUACUUCGUAAGAAGGCACUCUGAUGGGACUGCCUGGGAAACCAGGAGGAAGGUGGGGAUGAUGUCAAGUCCGCAUGGUCCUUAUGCCUAGGGCAACACACGUGUUACAAUGGCCAAUACAAAGGGCUGCGAAGUCGCAAGAUGGAGCCAAUCCCACAAAGUUGGUCUAAGUUCAGAUUGAGGUCUGCAACUCGACCUCAUGAAGUUGAAAUCGCUAGUAAUCGCAUAUCAGAACGAUGCGGUGAAUACGUUCUCGGACCUUGUACACACCGCCCGU